RNAcentral lists this ribosomal RNA (435 nucleotides) under Calidivitrina nigrocincta. RNAcentral describes it as "partial large subunit ribosomal RNA". It matches the Rfam family "Bacterial large subunit ribosomal RNA", at positions 1817 to 2601 of the family's 2925-position model. The record is from RNAcentral. Lineage: Eukaryota; Metazoa; Mollusca; Gastropoda; Stylommatophora; Vitrinidae.
AGCAUUAUGAUAAUAUAUAAAGUGAAACCUGCCCGGUGAAAUUUUAAACGGCCGCAGUACCUUGACUGUGCUAAGGUAGCAUAAUAAAUUGACUUUUAAUUGAAGCCUUGUAUGAAAGGAAUAAUGGAUAAGCUCUGUCUCUAUUUAAUUUAUUUAAAGUUACUUAAAAGGUGAAAAUACCUUUUUAAAUUUAAUAGACGAGAAGACCCUAGGAGUUUAUUUAUUUUUUUUUCGAAAAAUAUUUUGUUGGGGCGACAUUACAGCAUAAUAACCUGUAAUAUAUUUAAAAAUAAAACGAAAAAUUUUAAUUAAGAUUAAACUACCCUAGGGAUAACAGCAUAAUUUUUAAAAAGUUUGUGACCUCGAUGUUGGACUAGGAAUUUUUAAUAUUAACAGUAUUAAAAUUAUGUUCUGUUCGAACAAGUUUUCCUACAU